RNAcentral lists this ribosomal RNA (499 nucleotides) under Entomobrya sp. 1140_1. RNAcentral describes it as "partial 16S ribosomal RNA". It matches the Rfam family "Bacterial large subunit ribosomal RNA", at positions 1796 to 2621 of the family's 2925-position model. The record is from RNAcentral. Lineage: Eukaryota; Metazoa; Arthropoda; Collembola; Entomobryomorpha; Entomobryidae.
UCGCCUGUUUAUCAAAAACAUUUCUUUUUGGUUAAUUAAAAAGUAAAACCUGCCCACUGAAGUUUAAAGGGCCGCGGUAUUAUGACCGUGCUAAGGUAGCAUAAUCAUUAGUCUCCUAAUUAGGGAAUUGUAUGAAUGGUUGUUUCUUAAAAAAUUUUAUUAAAUAAGUUUAUUGAAUUUUUAUUCUAAGUGAAAAUACUUAGUUUUUAUUAAAAGACGAUAAGACCCUUUAGAGCUUUAUGUUUUUUAUCUAUUUAGGUAGAAAAUAAAAUGUUUUAUUGGGGCAAUAAAAGAAUAAAAGAAACUUCUUUAUUUUAUCUUGUAGUAUAAAAAUAAAUAAGUUACCUAAGGGAUAACAGCGUUAUAAUUUUUAAGAGUUCUAAUCGACAAAAUUGUUUGCGACCUCGAUGUUGAAUUAAAAAUUCUUGUUGGGGCAGCUUUUAAUAAAGAUAGUCUGUUCGACUAUAGAAAUUUUACAUGAUCUGAGUUCAAACCGGAG